Molecule: long non-coding RNA, 833 nt
Organism: Physeter macrocephalus (sperm whale)
Lineage: Eukaryota; Metazoa; Chordata; Mammalia; Artiodactyla; Physeteridae
Exons: 5
Source: RefSeq, a predicted model, not a curated record
UUAUUUUUUUCAUGUGCCUUCUUUUUAAGAAUUUUCAUGACAUUUGGAUUACGUCUGUAUAAUUUACACUUUCUUCUACUUUGCCUUGCUCGUCCUCUUAAACAGGAUUUCCUCAUUCGGUAGGCUGGUGUACAUCUUUGAGAAAGAAAAUGUGGGUGCUCUACUUCCUGAGAGUUUGCUUAUCUGAAAUGUUGCUUCACAAUUAUAUGACAACUUAAAAAGCUAUGUUUCUACCCAUAAGGAGAAGAGGCCAGUGUGCCUGGAACUAAGUGGCAUAAAGUAAUCAGGGGAUCGAUCAUGAAGAAUCUUGGAAUGAAACAAGGUUUUCACUUGUGUUCGGUUAAUGGGAGGCACUGGUAGAGAUUGAAGGGCAGGAGAAAGAACACUGAGUACUUACUUACCACCACUUCCUUUGGGGUACUAUUUGAAAAUAGCUGCAUUCCUUUACCGUGAGAUCUCCAGGUCCCUAAAGUACUGUGGGAGCAGGAAUAGGGCACAAACAUAAACCAGAAAAUUACAAGAGAACAUGGCGAUUUUUUUCCUUAGAAGAUGGGACAUUGAAUUAUUCGUAAGAAAUGACAGAAGAGGAUUUACAAAUGACUUUCAAGAUGAAUCCACAGUAAUAACUACAGUACUAAUAGCCACUAUUUAUUGCUCACCACUACUGUUUGUGAUGUUCUGUACACAUUGUUUCUGAUCCUUACAACUGCCAAGUUGGGUAGAUUUCAUCAGGCCCAUCAUAAAAACGGAAACAUUGGGGUUUGCGGGCCUCAAAUAACUUACCAUAGGUCACACAAACAAUGUGACCUGACCUUAUGUUCAUGCUUUUUCCA